GUGCGUGAGAUAUCUAACCCAUAUCUUUCACUUCUUACAAUUAUCAAAUUGCAUGGUUUAAAAGAAGUAUAAAAAGAAAAGAAAUCUGCCUCCCGAGAGGGUGUCAAAGAUAUGAAGAAUUUAUUCUCCUCUCUCUCUCUCUCNNNNNNNNNNNNNNNNNNNNCUCUCUCUCUCUCUCAGACGAACACCAAAUGCACUGACAUCUUUAUGAGACGAUUUAAACACCCGGGUUCCCUCCCUCUUUUAACGAAACCCAAACCGAUUCGAGCCUCACGACUUCUUUAGAGCAAGCCUAGGUGGAUCACACGCACGCACAGAUAGAUGACGGGAAGGAUACUGUAUAAUCUCCAAAUACGUGGUAAAUUCUAGGUGAUGAAAGCUAACGUAUCCAACAAAAAUCGAUGCAG
RNAcentral lists this long non-coding RNA (407 nucleotides) under Musa acuminata (dwarf banana). Its description in RNAcentral is "long non-coding RNA (MACU_LNC006140)". The record is from RNAcentral. Lineage: Eukaryota; Viridiplantae; Streptophyta; Magnoliopsida; Zingiberales; Musaceae.